RNAcentral lists this long non-coding RNA (668 nucleotides) under Oncorhynchus kisutch (coho salmon). RNAcentral's name for it is "lncRNA (ENSOKIG00005028117.1)". The record is from RNAcentral. Lineage: Eukaryota; Metazoa; Chordata; Actinopteri; Salmoniformes; Salmonidae.
UGGGUGGACCUAGAUGGGAUUGACUGGACAGCAUCAGCGCAACGAGCUUCAAAUUGGUGGAUGCUGGUUAUGAUGCACGGCGCCAUCGGUGGAUACGGGAAUACUGGAAGUCUGAAGCAAAUAUUUGACCACGAAAAUGGAAACUUGAACUCAAAUCCAUAACAGACCAUUCAUUCAUCAAGCUAUUUUUUUUCAACUUGAAUUCAGCCUACCACCAAUUGUUGAAUUGACAGGAAUGGACGCUCGAGAUUGAAUUUCAGCGAACCACAUUGGAAAGGAGUGGUUAACCUCACCUCUUCGAAGAAACCUGGUGUAAACUUCACGAUACGCAGAGAAAGUUAUUUGGGAUAUCUGGUUGGAUAUAACGUAGUACUGUGGACAUGGCGGAUGCUGCUGAGUGCGGUGUGAAAGUGAUGUGCCGAUUCAGGCCCUUCAACCAACAGAGACAAAUACAUUCCGAAAUUCAAGGGCGAAGAUACGGUGGUAAUAACGAGUAAGCUCUAUGUGUUUGACCGAGUCACCCAACACAGCCCAGGAGCAAGUCUACGAUGCCUGUGCCAAGCAGAUCGUCAAAGAUGGAACAAUCUUUGCCUAUGGCCAGACCUCAUCAGGAAAGAUCCACACCAUGGAGUAGGAGGACCCGCGCCUUAUGAAAGCUAAGAGGGUUA